Molecule: long non-coding RNA, 390 nt
Filed under: Linum usitatissimum (flax)
Lineage: Eukaryota; Viridiplantae; Streptophyta; Magnoliopsida; Malpighiales; Linaceae
Description: long non-coding RNA (LUSI_LNC006666)
Source: RNAcentral
ACAAUUAGAACUGUCCACUUGUUUGAUUCGAACACAUGAGAGAUGGGCAGAGUUAUUGUCUUGUAUAGUUCUCCUCAGUCCGAUUCAUGACUAUGAAGCUUCUUACUUUAUGCUCUGGUUCAUAGGCUGGGACAUAGAGAGCAGAAAGAUGAGUGGUCACCUCGUCGUGUUGAUAUUUUCCAAAGGCAGAAUGUUUUGCCAUCAGAUGCAGUAAUUUCAGCUGGUGCUGUCAACUCUUCAUGUCUUACUUUAUGCUCUGGUUCAUAGGCUGGGACAUAGAGAGCAGAAAGAUGAGUGGUCACCUCGUCGUGUUGAUAUUUUUCAACGGCAGAAUGUUUUGCCACCAGAUGCAAUAAUUUCAGCUGGUGCUGUCAAUUCAUCAUGCACAGC